AGUAAUUGCCCUUAGGGACCUGGCCAUCCUGGUCUGGCACUCACAGGACACGUUGAGCUGGACGGUCCUCUCCGUGCUCACACCAGCUCCAGGGAAUGUCACUUGACAGCAGAGGGAGCAACAGCAGCAGCGGCAUCUUUGAGGACGAGCCACAGGACCUCGGUGUCACAGGACUAGGAGGAAGCCCCAGCAGGAAGCCCAGACUGAGGUCAGAAAGGUGACUGACUGCAGAAGAGGAACUUGAAACCCACAUGCUUUGGAGCUGGUGUGGUCCUUGGAGAAUUACAACUCCUACUUUCCAGGUUGUGAUGAUGAGCUGCUGUUUGACUUUCCCAUCUCAACCCAGAGUCUGCCUCUUGAGCUCGGCUCUCAAGGACAGAAGCAGAUGAAGGUCCAGCGGGAGGACAUUUCAGCAGGAGGGACCUCAGGAUGCAAGGUCUGAGGUCUGAUGCUAGUCCUCUCCUGAGUCAGGAGAGAUCCCCAGCAGAUCCCUCUGUCCAAAUCACAGGGAUCCAGCAUGUGUUCUGCAUCCACUUUGUGGCAGGUGCUCUGAUAGGACUUUACUCCCAGAAUUCUCACUACAGACUUCCAGGUAGAGCUUCUCAUGCGUGUUUCACAGAACAAGAAACCGAGACACAGAGAGAGGGUUGGUCUGUCACUUACUUAGUAAAGGUGGAGAGUGUGGAUUCUAAUUCAAAACUCUUUAGUUCCAAAGGCUCUGCUAUUUACACCAUUUAGCGGGCAUUUAAAUCUGCAGGCAUCAGUCUGUGAUUUUUUUCUUUGCCUCAAGGACCGUGGUCUCUGAAGCCAGGGCAGGGGCUCUGCAACUGCUCACUUGUGGAUCUUGAUCUCGGAGUACUCACCACCAGUGGCCUCCUGUUCCUGCGGGUCCUGAGGCUUCAUCCCAAGAAAGCUGAGAAGAUGCGUGCAAACUCAGAAUCCAUCCAGACGAUGGAAUACUGCACAGUCGUGGGGAAGAAUGAGGACAACUGGGCUACUGAUAUCAAAGGACAACUUAGAUCCUUUAUGUGAACAAACCAAGGCUCAGAGCAGCGUAUGGACACUGAUCUCUUCCCUAUAGGGGACUGGGCAUCAGAAGGACAGACUCUGCUGUACGUUAUGAAUUUUGGACCGUGUGAAUAUAUUACCUAUUCAAAGGUACUUAAGUAAGCAAUUGUUGGAGAAAAUAAAAAGACAAGGCUGGAACAGUCACCAAAAGACUGAUGAUUAGGGGUCUCCAGAGGUGGGAUCUGCCAUGUGAAUUGCCCUUUUUCCCUUGUGGAGCUGAGGGGAUUGGAGAAGGCUGAGGGCAGUGAGGGGCCGAUGGGGACAGCUUCUCAGAGGCCAUGGGGGCUAAGGAUGGGAGGGACCACUGGGUUCACCCACAAGCCGGUCACUGGGGUGAAUCCAGGGUGAGGCAGGGACCUGGCCUUGCCCUGAGCUGGAAGAGGUCCUGCUC
Molecule: non-coding RNA, 1459 nt
Organism: Equus caballus (horse)
Lineage: Eukaryota; Metazoa; Chordata; Mammalia; Perissodactyla; Equidae
Source: RefSeq, a predicted model, not a curated record